This 254-nucleotide ribosomal RNA is filed under the name uncultured bacterium. RNAcentral's name for it is "partial 16S ribosomal RNA". It matches the Rfam family "Bacterial small subunit ribosomal RNA", at positions 524 to 776 of the family's 1533-position model. The record is from RNAcentral.
UACGUAGGGUCCGAGCGUUGUCCGGAAUUACUGGGCGUAAAGCGUGCGCAGGCGGUUUUGUAAGUCUGUCGUGAAAUCCCCGGGCUCAACCUGGGAAUUGCGAUGGAGACUGCAAGGCUAGAAUCUGGCAGAGGGGGGUAGAAUUCCACGUGUAGCAGUGAAAUGCGUAGAGAUGUGGAGGAACACCGAUGGCGAAGGCAGCCCCCUGGGUCAAGAUUGACGCUCAUGCACGAAAGGCGUGGGGAGCAAACAGG